This 254-nucleotide ribosomal RNA is filed under the name uncultured bacterium. RNAcentral's name for it is "partial 16S ribosomal RNA". It matches the Rfam family "Bacterial small subunit ribosomal RNA", at positions 524 to 776 of the family's 1533-position model. The record is from RNAcentral.
UACGUAGGGUGCAAGCGUUAAUCGGAAUUACUGGGCGUAAAGCGUGCGCAGGCGGUGAUGUAAGACAGAUGUGAAAUCCCCGGGGCUCAACCCCGGAACUGCACUGGAUACUGCCAUGCUUGAGUACUGGAGAGGAGAUUGGAAUUUACGGUGUAGCAGUGAAAUGCGUAGAUAUCCGGAGGAACACCGGUGGCGAAGGCGGCUUCCUGGACCGACACUGACGCUGAGGCGCGAAAGCCAGGGGAGCAAACGGG